RNAcentral lists this ribosomal RNA (624 nucleotides) under uncultured Verrucomicrobiota bacterium. Its description in RNAcentral is "bacterial SSU rRNA". It matches the Rfam family "Bacterial small subunit ribosomal RNA", at positions 74 to 680 of the family's 1533-position model. Lineage: Bacteria; Pseudomonadati; Verrucomicrobiota. The record is from RNAcentral.
UUGUAGCAAUACAGUGGAAGUUCUAGUGGCGAACGGGUGCGUAACACGUGGGCAAUCUGCCCUAAAGUGGGGGAUAGCUCGGCGAAAGCCGGAUUAAUACCGCAUGUGAUCAGGGGAGACAUCUUCCCAAAAUUCAAAGUCGGGGCAACCUGACGCUUUUUGAGGAGCCCGCGGCCUAUCAGCUAGUUGGUGAGGUAACGGCUCACCAAGGCGUUGACGGGUAGCUGGUCUGAGAGGACGACCAGUCACACUGGAACUGAGACACGGUCCAGACACCUACGGGUGGCAGCAGUCGAGAAUUUUUCUCAAUGGGGGAAACCCUGAAGGAGCGACGCCGCGUGGAGGAUGAAGGUCUUCGGGUUGUAAACUCCUGUCAUUUGGGAACAAUGCUUACGUAUUAACUGUACGUGAGUUGAUAGUACCAGAAGAGGAAGAGACGGCUAACUCUGUGCCAGCAGCCGCGGUAAUACAGAGGUCUCAAGCGUUGUUCGGAUUCAUUGGGCGUAAAGGGUGUGUAGGUGGCGCGCUAAGUCGGGUGUGAAAUUUCGGAGCUUAACUCCGAAACUGCAUUCGAUACUGGCGUGCUUGAGGACUGGAGAGGAGACUGGAAUUCACGGUGUAGCA